AAAGCAAGACGAGAUGAUUACCUCGACGUUUAAGUACGUUGAGGAGGAAAGUCCGAGCUCCAAAGAGUAAUGUAUCCUGUUAAUUUCAGGACAUCCGUUUACGGGUAGGAUUAGAGCUACAGUGACGAUGCCUCAUUAUGAGGAGUGAAACGAGCAAUCUCUACAUGGAGCAAUGCCAAAUAGGGGAAGAAUUAAUCUUAACGAUUAAUACGAAGUUACUCGCUUCGUUUGUAUUUCCGGGUAGGCUGCAAGAGUUUAAAGAGCAAUCUUUAAAGUUAGUGGAAUGAUCAUCUGUCUUCUAUAAUUUUGCAUUAAGGAAAAACUAAAUGCAAAAUUUUAUGAAGACUUACAGAACUCGGCUUAUUGUCUUGCUUUAUUA
This 379-nucleotide RNase P RNA is filed under the name Candidatus Zapsychrus exili. RNAcentral describes it as "RNase P RNA component class A". It matches the Rfam family "Bacterial RNase P class A". Rfam says of the family: Ribonuclease P (RNase P) is a ubiquitous endoribonuclease, found in archaea, bacteria and eukarya as well as chloroplasts and mitochondria. Its best characterised activity is the generation of mature 5'-ends of tRNAs by cleaving the 5'-leader elements of precursor-tRNAs. The record is from RNAcentral. Lineage: Bacteria; Pseudomonadati; Candidatus Omnitrophota.